CUUUGGGAAGCAUGUCUUGCUGUGUGGCAUAGGGUGAGCAGGCUCUGCUGGGGAGCAAGUAGCUUGCAUUCUCUGCUUCACAAAUUAAUGCUUUACUAGGAAUGAAGGACCUCGAGUCUGCCCUUCUGACAGCAAAGAUGAUGGAAAGGUCUUUUUUUUCAUAUUUUUUUUUCCACUAGCAGAAGCAUAUGCUGCUCAUCUCAUUCCUACUGAUAGCCCAGGAAUGCUGCAUCCCAGCAGCGAUGGCCCUGUGCCUCACCCAGCAGAUAACAGCCCUGUUCUGCACUCGGAUACGGACGCAUAAAGCCAGCAGCAGUACUCAUGCAAAAAUCAUGAGAUUAAGCACCAGUUUGAGAAUCCUGCAAACAGGGAAGAUGCUUGUGGAGGCCAUGGAGAGGACACACAAAGUGCUGACAUUGCUGCCCGAAGAACAAAAGAGGAAACUUCUUAUCUGCCAGUUUUCCUUGUGCUCCCUGGAUGUGCACAUUGUUCCACCAAGAGAGACUGCAGCUGCUCUACAGCUGCAGAAAAACCAGUUGCUAGAAUUCAAACAGCAAAUUUCAUUUUAUUUUUAACCCAGACACUUUCCUAUGCAGAUGCUGAUGCCUUGUUGCUUCAGCACUGUAUGGGUUUGCUCAUAUCCCAGUGCCUUUUUUUGUUGUUGUUCAGAGCCUGGUCCUUCUUUCUGGAUAGGGAGCGAGCUGAGAAGUUUGUGUCCAUACAGAUUCCUAGCACGUUUCUUGUUGGUUAUUGACUGAACCAGGACAGAUGUUCAUCUCAGAAUGCAUGCUGAUCCCAGGGUUCAGCAGCUGGUUCUGCUUUUCCUCUGGCUUAUACCACAACAUGUACAUCUCAUUUGACUUCCUUUCCUUUUGCAUCAAAAUGCUUUCCGGAAGGUGAAAGCUACGUGAGAAAUCAGUGUUCUCUGUCGUAAGUUGAGGUGGGCUUUAAUCAUCAGCUGCAUCCAAAGGAGCGCUGCACUACUGAUUAGACCAGCCACAGGAUUGCUUAAGGGCAAGUGUGAAAAAACCCAAUUCCUUUUUACUUUGGUUUCCUGAAGUACUGCCUUUUGAAGCGUCCUCCUUCGAAAGCAAACACAGUGAAACAGCAAGGCACAGGAAAUAUUUUUAUCUCUGUAGCUGGUCAAGGUAAACCCUAUGAGGAGUGUUGACCUCCGCUAGCUAUGUCAUCUCGUAUUUGUUGGGCUGGCACAUGAGAUAACUGGCUACCUGGAAUCAGCCAGCAACACAUUCCCUUCUCAUUAACUCAUUUGUUUGUCAGUAACUUCAGGGGGAGCUUUGAGCACUUUCAGUUUCUGCUCCUGGAAGAAUUAGUGACGAUGGGUGUAGGGCUCACCAUAGGAUGUAUAGCAAGUACCAAAAGCCUUUGGGGUUUUAGAUCCACCUAAGCAACAGGCAGAAGAGCAGUGCUGUUGCUGCUGGCAGAGUGAGAAGAGAGGAGUAAGAAACAGCCUCUUUGGCAGGUGCCUCUUUCCCUUGCCCCACGUGUAAGAAGAGAUUGUUUUGGCUCUCAGGAAGAGGGUUGUCCUUGGGUUGAGGAGCUCGUUGACAGGAGUACUGCUUUUCUUUCAGAAUUUCUCUAGGAAGAGCUGUUCCAGAGGAGGUUCUCAUUAGAGAGAUGCUGGGCCCAAAGGAAAAUGUAGCCCAUGGGCCAGGCAGGAGGUGCUGGGGAUGAAGAGAGAUGGGCAGAACUGUGAACAGAGGGGAGCAGUGGCAGUGAAACACUCCACUUUGUGUCAUUGGAGUGCUCUAGCUGGAGAGGGAAAAGCUCAGCAUCUCACAGUGCACCAAAAUCAAUGGCUUUUGCAGCAGUGUUUCCCUGCUAUCUUAGCGACCAAACCCUUCCUCCCUACAAGCUCUCCGAUCCCAAGCAUGGAGAUGUUGUGACAUUUGCACACUCUGCUUGGAUCCGCUGCGUGUUCGUCCCCCGAGUCAGCAGCCUGGCAGGUCACAGCAACCCCAGAGAGUUCGGUCAGCAGGAAAAGGUUUUGCAUUUGCAGGGAAGCCUUCAAUCUCCGGUGUUCUUGGAAAGGAAGGCAAUAGAGGGGCCCCACGUUGGCCCCAGCUGCUGUCCGCUCAGCUGAUGCAGCACUCCUGCAGGGCUGUGCUCCUUCCAAAGCUGCCCACUGCCUCUCAGCUUUCAUAGUGCAGGGCUGGGGGAAGGGAGUCGAAGAAGGGUCAACUGCAGAGAGUCUGAGGAGAAGGGAAGCAUUGUAAAACCAAAGGUUUUGAAGAGAAACCAUAUUUUCAAAAUGUAGCAGAGAUUUCCAACCAAGUUCCCUGGAUGUAAUCCUAGGUCAUGUUUAGGCUUUUUCAAAUUUACAUUUUAAUCAUAAAGCUCCUUUUAUGACUUCUUAGCCAUUCCAGGCAUGUGCGAACACAUAGCAUGUACACUGUGCAACAUGUUUCUUCAGAAUAUUUGCAGGUUUGGAAGUAGUGAUUUGAACUCUGCCUCUGCAGCAUUUGGCAAUGACUGCUAUGACAUUUGCAUGAUGGGAAGAACUGUUGCCAAGUUGGGUAACUUCUGACAAGUAUAAACACAGCUCUGCCUUCUGUAAACUCGAUUUCAAACCAUAUUGCUGUUCUGAGGAAGAGAAAGUCCUGACAUUAAAGAAUAUGCUGUCCUUCUGAUCAGCUCAUAAAUCUCCCUGUUGGUGUGCGCUGAGCGAGUCUGUGAAGGAUAAACAGCAAGGGAUGGUGGGGUGGGAUGGGGCAGAAUGAGGUGGG
This is a long non-coding RNA of Gallus gallus (chicken), 2747 nucleotides long. Lineage: Eukaryota; Metazoa; Chordata; Aves; Galliformes; Phasianidae. The record is from Ensembl.